UACGUAGGUGGCAAGCGUUGUUCGGAAUUAUUGGGCGUAAAGGGCGCGUAGGCGGUCUUGUAAGUCAGCUGUGAAAGCCCGGGGCUCAACCCCGGAGGGUCGGCUGAUACUGCAGGACUGGAGUACGGAAGAGGUAGCUGGAAUUCCCGGUGUAGCGGUGAAAUGCGCAGAUAUCGUCAAGAACACCGAUAGCGAAGGCAGCUUACUAAGCUCAAACUGACACUGAUGCACGAAAGUGUGGGGAUCAAACAGG
Molecule: ribosomal RNA, 253 nt
Filed under: uncultured bacterium
Lineage: Bacteria
Description: partial 16S ribosomal RNA
Rfam family: Bacterial small subunit ribosomal RNA
Source: RNAcentral